ACCCAGAGGUGUGGAAUAACUGUGGGAAACUACAGCUAAUACCGCAUAAGCCCGAAGGUUUAGGUACUUUUGGGGAAAGAUUUAUUGCCUUUGGAUCAACCCGCGUCAGAUUAGCUAGUUGGUGGGGUAACGGCCCACCAAGGCGACGAUCUGUAGCUGGUCUGAGAGGAUGACCAGCCACACUGGGACUGAGACACGGCCCAGACUCCUACGGGAGGCAGCAGUGGGGAAUAUUGGACAAUGGGCGCAAGCCUGAUCCAGCCAUGCCGCGUGAGUGAUGACGGCCUUAGGGUUGUAAAGCUCUUUUAACAGGGACGAUAAUGACGGUACCUGUAGAAUAAGCCCCGGCUAACUUCGUGCCAGCAGCCGCGGUAAUACGAAGGGGGCUAGCGUUGUUCGGAAUUACUGGGCGUAAAGCGCACGUAGGCGGAUUCUUAAGUCGGGGGUGAAAUCCUGAGGCUCAACCUCAGAACUGCCUUCGAUACUGGGGAUCUUGAGUUCGGAAGAGGUUGGUGGAACAGCUAGUGUAGAGGUGAAAUUCGUAGAUAUUAGCUAGAACACCAGUGGCGAAGGCGGCCAACUGGUCCGACACUGACGCUGAGUCGUAGCGUACCCC
Molecule: ribosomal RNA, 616 nt
Filed under: Labrys sp. (in: a-proteobacteria)
Lineage: Bacteria; Pseudomonadati; Pseudomonadota; Alphaproteobacteria; Hyphomicrobiales; Xanthobacteraceae
Description: bacterial SSU rRNA
Rfam family: Bacterial small subunit ribosomal RNA
Source: RNAcentral